AUUGAACGCUGGCGGCAUGCUUUACACAUGCAAGUCGAACGGCAGCGCGGGCUUCGGCCUGGCGGCGAGUGGCGAACGGGUGAGUAAUGCAUCGGAACGUGCCCAGUAGUGGGGGAUAGCCCGGCUAAAGCCGGAUUAAUACCGCAUACGACCUGAGGGUGAAAGCGGGGGACCGAAAGGCCUCGCGCUAUUUGAGCGGCCGAUGUCGGAUUAGCUAGUUGGUGGGGUAAAGGCUUACCAAGGCGACGAUCCGUAGCUGGUCUGAGAGGACGACCAGCCACACUGGCAACGAGACACGGCCCAGAUUACGCGGGGAGGCCGCAGUGGGGAAUAUUCGGCAAGGGGGGAAACCACGAUCGAGCAAAGCCGAGUGAGGGAAGAAGGGCUUCGGGUUGUAAACCACUUAUGUUCGGGACGAACGCAUAUGGGCUAAUAUCGCGGGGGGAUGACGGUAGCGAAAGCAAAAGCAAUGGCUAACUACGUG
Molecule: ribosomal RNA, 484 nt
Filed under: uncultured bacterium
Lineage: Bacteria
Description: partial 16S ribosomal RNA
Rfam family: Bacterial small subunit ribosomal RNA
Source: RNAcentral